RNAcentral lists this transfer RNA (58 nucleotides) under Cricetulus griseus (Chinese hamster). The record is from Rfam by way of RNAcentral. Lineage: Eukaryota; Metazoa; Chordata; Mammalia; Rodentia; Cricetidae.
UGGCUCAGAGGGUAAGAGCACUGGCUGCUCUUCCAGAGGUUCUGAGUUCAAUUCUCAG